RNAcentral lists this microRNA precursor (59 nucleotides) under Callorhinchus milii (elephant shark). RNAcentral's name for it is "Cmi-Mir-204-P4_pre stem-loop". It matches the Rfam family "mir-204 microRNA precursor family", at positions 16 to 74 of the family's 89-position model. Lineage: Eukaryota; Metazoa; Chordata; Chondrichthyes; Chimaeriformes; Callorhinchidae. The record is from RNAcentral.
UUCCCUUUGUCAUCCUAUGCCUGAUGGUAAUGAUGGGGGCUGGGACGGUAAAGGGACGU